CGCCCGUGUUGUGGGACUCAGCUGGUUCAAACCCUGCGUCUUUCCAGCGCCUCGCUUCCCGCGGUCGGUGCUGCUCCGGCGGAGGCGCGAUGGGGGAGGCGGAGAAGUUCCACUACAUCUACAGCUGUGACCUGGACAUCAACGUGCGGCUCAAGAUAGGGAGUUUGGAAGGGAAGAGAGAACAAAAGAGUUAUAAAGCUGUUCUAGAAGACCCAAUGCUGAAGUUUUCAGGACUGUACCAGGAGACCUGCUCUGACCUUUAUGUUACUUGUCAAGUUUUUGCAGAAGGGAAGCCUCUGGCCUUGCCAGUGAGAACAUCCUACAAGGCAUUUAGUACAAGAUGGAACUGGAAUGAAUGGCUCAAACUGCCUGUGAAGUACCCCGACCUGCCCCGGAAUGCCCAAGUGGCCCUGACUAUAUGGGACGUGUAUGGGCCAGGAAAGGCAGUGCCUGUGGGUGGGACAACGGUUUCGCUCUUUGGAAAAUACGGCAUGUUUCGUCAAGGGAUGCAUGACUUGAAAGUCUGGCCUAAUGUAGAAGCAGAUGGGUCAGAACCCACAAAAACUCCUGGCAGAACAAGCAGUACACUCUCAGAAGAUCAGAUGAGCCGCCUUGCCAAGCUCACCAAAGCCCAUCGACAAGGACACAUGGUGAAAGUAGAUUGGCUGGACAGAUUGACAUUUAGAGAAAUUGAAAUGAUAAAUGAGAGUGAAAAACGAAGUUCUAAUUUCAUGUAUUUGAUGGUUGAGUUUCGAUGUGUCAAGUGCGACGAUAAAGAAUAUGGCAUUGUUUAUUAUGAAAAGGAUGGUGAUGAGUCAUCUCCAAUUUUAACAAGCUUUGAGAUAGUGAAAGUUCCUGACCCUCAGAUGUCUAUGGAGAACUUGGUUGAGAGCAAACACCACAAGCUUGCCCGGAGUUUAAGAAGCGGACCUUCUGACCAUGAUCUCAAGCCUAAUGCUACCACAAGAGACCAACUAAAUAUUAUUGUGAGUUAUCCACCAACCAAGCAACUCACAUAUGAAGAACAAGAUCUUGUUUGGAAAUUUAGAUGUUAUCUUACUAACCAAGAAAAAGCUUUGACAAAAUUCUUGAAAUGUGUUAAUUGGGAUCUACCUCAGGAGGCCAAACAGGCACUGGAACUGCUGGGGAAAUGGAAGCCCAUGGACGUGGAGGAUUCCCUGGAGCUACUGUCCUCCCAUUACACCAACCCCACAGUGAGGCGCUAUGCUGUGGCCCGGCUGCGCCAGGCAGAUGAUGAGGAUUUAUUGAUGUACCUAUUACAACUGGUCCAAGCUCUCAAAUAUGAAAAUUUUGACGAUAUAAAGAAUGGAUUAGAACCUACCAAGAAGGAUAGUCAGGGUUCAAUGUCAGAGAGUACAUCAAAUUCUGGAAUAAAUUCUGCAGAAAUAGAUAGCUCCCAAAUUAUAACCAGUCCUGUUCCUCCAGUGUCUUCCCCUCCCCCAGCAUCUAAAACAAAAGAAGGUUCAGAUGGUGAAAAUCUGGAGCAAGAUCUCUGCACCUUUUUGAUAUCAAGAGCCUGCAAAAACUCAACACUGGCUAAUUACUUAUACUGGUAUGUGAUAGUGGAAUGUGAAGAUCAAGAUACUCAGCAGAGAGACCCAAAGACCCAUGAGAUGUACUUGAAUGUGAUGAGACGAUUCAGCCAAGCAUUGUUGAAGGGUGACAAGUCUGUCAGAGUUAUGCGCUCCUUGCUGGCUGCACAGCAGACGUUUGUAGAUCGGCUGGUGCAUCUAAUGAAGGCAGUGCAGCGUGAAAGUGGAAAUCGUAAGAAAAAGAAUGAGAGACUUCAGGCAUUGCUUGGAGAUAAUGAAAAGAUGAACUUGUCAGAUGUGGAACUUAUCCCAUUGCCUCUAGAACCCCAGGUGAAAAUUAGAGGAAUAAUCCCAGAAACAGCUACACUAUUCAAGAGUGCCCUUAUGCCUGCACAGUUGUUCUUUAAGACAGAAGAUGGAGGCAAAUACCCAGUUAUAUUUAAGCAUGGGGAUGACUUACGCCAAGAUCAACUUAUUCUUCAAAUCAUUUCACUCAUGGACAAGCUACUGCGGAAAGAAAAUCUGGAUUUGAAGUUAACACCCUAUAAAGUAUUAGCCACCAGUACAAAACAUGGCUUCAUGCAGUUUAUCCAGUCAGUUCCUGUUGCUGAAGUUCUUGAUACAGAAGGAAGCAUUCAGAACUUUUUUAGAAAAUACGCACCAAGUGACAAUGGGCCCUAUGGGAUCAGUGCUGAGGUAAUGGACACGUAUGUUAAAAGCUGUGCUGGAUAUUGUGUGAUUACAUAUAUACUUGGAGUUGGAGACAGGCACUUGGAUAACCUUUUGCUAACAAAAACAGGCAAACUCUUCCACAUAGACUUUGGAUAUAUCUUGGGUCGGGAUCCGAAGCCUCUUCCUCCUCCAAUGAAGCUGAAUAAAGAGAUGGUGGAAGGCAUGGGGGGCACUCAGAGCGAGCAGUACCAGGAGUUCCGGAAGCAGUGCUACACAGCUUUCCUCCACCUGCGAAGGUAUUCUAAUCUAAUUUUGAACUUAUUUUCCUUGAUGGUGGAUGCAAACAUUCCAGAUAUUGCUCUUGAACCAGAUAAAACUGUGAAAAAGGUGCAGGAUAAAUUCCGCCUGGACCUGUCGGACGAGGAGGCGGUGCAUUACAUGCAGAGUCUGAUUGACGAGAGUGUCCACGCCCUGUUUGCUGCAGUGGUGGAGCAGAUUCACAAGUUUGCCCAGUACUGGAGAAAAUGAAACUGGGUUUGGUGUCCCCCAAGAAGCAACCUGUGUAUAAUGAAGACUUCAGAGUAACAAGCAAGCAAGAAUGUUUAAUCUUCCAGAUACCAUAUAUCCUAAAUGUUACAUGGUGUCUGAAUCCCUUGAAUUUCCCAGUUCUCCUAGGUUGUAAAUACUGAAAGUCGGAUAUGAAAAUGCAGCCAAAGAGUAACCUGCAGCAGCCUUCAGUAUGGAGCCCAAGGUAUUUUUACAUAUACGUUUAAGCAUAAACUGUCUUUCUGAAGUCAAUCUUUUUUGAAUCAGCUUAGUUUUUAAAUGACUUUUGAAAUAGUUCCCCUGGAACUGUUAAUAUAUCUUCUCUGAUUUUAACCAAGUGAUUUUUUUGUCUUUUAAGACUAGAAGUCCCACUAAUCCAUCUAGCUUUUUUGCCUCAUGCAACUUUGAGAAAAAGGAAUAAACAAAAACUGAGAAGAGCAAUGCAAUAAUAAUCCUUGCAAAUUAACACGUUGCAUAGUCUUGUGACUUUGUUUUGAAAGGAAAAGAAUAGUUGAUUCUCUCGGUGCUAAAUAAAUAUUAAAUAUCAAGUGACAGAGGAGAUUAAGAAGGUUUACUUAAGUCACCAUUUCAGAGAAUGCCAUUAAUUAUAAUGUUUAUUUGUCCCUAAAUUCUCAUCUGUGAGUUUGUCUCUAGAGUGGAGUUACCACCUAGAAAGGAAGCAUGUAAUUAGGAGACAUUCUAGAGGCACUUGGACUGUGAUUUCUUUAAAGUACACAUGCAGAUUAGAGAAUUGGUAAAGAUGAAAAGUCCUUGGCAUAGCUUCAUAUGAGAGUUUAUGCCCAAACUAAUAGGCAAGCUCCAUUCUCUCCCUUGCUUUUUCCUUGCUUUACAUAUUUAAAUCAUUUUUGUUGCCUACAAGCUUUUAACUUAUCUCUGUUCUUGUUUUAGUUCUAGUUCAUUGGCAUCUUCUCCAAAGUUUUCUCAAAACAACCCUGUUGAAAGUGACCUCUCCAACCUUCUGAAUUCUUGUAAUUCUUUAAUUAUGGAUUUUUAAUUGGCACUUAAUAAAGUGGGGUGUUUUUGUUACAUUUGCAUCUCCUGUAGAGGAAAUAAGUGAGGGGACAGAGGAAAGGAUGUUGGGUAGGGAUGAUUUUUUUUUUUAACAUACACAAUAAUAGAGCCAUAAGAUGAUGGUAAUGAGUCAAAAGAAGGAAGAUUAAUACUGCAAAGGGGUCUGUAACUAAAGGAAUGAAACCUCCCAGGUGAGAAGGCAUACCAUUUCUGAGACAAUCAGAGAAUUUUGUUUUUGAUGGGAAGAUGAGUUCUGGAUCACCAUGCAUCCACCUUCUCUCCUGUAGACCUUUCCCUUACUGCCUGGCUAAUACCGUUUCUGACCCUUCUGCCAGGGAGACAAGGAGGGAGGAGAGUAAGGGGCCUAGAAAGUCAUUACCUGAAAAGCACUGCCCUGACAUAGCUGUGAUGUUCUGGUCCACUAAGUGUUUGAGGCUGUUUCUGGAGCAUGCAUAGUUGGGUGGACUUCUAGAGGCUCCCGUAGGGACUACCAGUGGCCAGUGACUUUCUCUGGUCAGCGGCCUUGCCCUCAGUCUUCUCUUUGGCAGUUUGUUUCAAAAGCACUUUGUUUGCUGGAACCCUCCAUCAUCCCUGGCAGUUUUCUUACGUGGAAUUUUACAUAGUUCUAGCCCAGCUCUCUCUCUUGUGUUGGCCACCUCUAGUACAUGAAAAAUUCUUAAGCAUUUUUUUGCCUCACCAAAGCAGUGACUCGUCUUACUCUUCCUCCAAAGUCAUGCACUGACCUCUUGUCCUCCGAGUUUCCUAGACUGGAGCGAGACACCAGUCCCCCUGAGCACUCUCCUUAUGCAAGGACCCUGAGAGGCUUUACUUGUUGUCUCAUCCCCUUAAAACUUAGUUCCAGGCCUGGAUUAGGAGAAGCCAGACCACAGGAGAAGCUCACUGAGAAACACAGCGGGGCUCAGAAUCUCUUCAUCCCUCCAAUCCUGAGUAAAUGUCCUUGAACUAAGGACAUUUCUUCUCUCCCCUUUUCCUUUGACUGUGGUUCCCCUGAGUAAGCCACUCUAGAGACCCACUAGACUCGUAAAAUGAGGAUAAUAAUAGCCCCUACCUCAUAGUGUCGUGUGAAGGUUAAAUGAGUUAAUGCACGUAGAGCACUUACAACAGAUCCUGGCACGUAGUAAUUGCCAUGUAAGUAUCAGCUAUUAUCGUAAUUACUGUGCCACUCAGAUGAACCCUCUGGUUCAGUGGGCUUGAGGUAGAGGGGUGGAGGUGGAGGUGGGAGGAACAAAGAACAUCAGUCUUGAACAGGAGACUUGGGACUGUAGUGGGCGACUUAAGUACUUUAGCUUUAUUAACUGGCCAGGAAGUCGCUAAUUCAAAACAGCAUUAUUGAAAUUUCUUUGAGCGAGGCUUCAUGAAGAUGAAAUGUUGAAUUGUCAGAGUGGAAUAUUCAAAUUAUACGUUCUCUGGAUUUAAAGAAGCAUUGAAGCCUGGUUCAAUAUAUACAGUAAUUAAUCUUCCAUUCAGUGAACUCGGAAAAAUUUUUAAAUCUUGGUUAAUGCUUCGAACAGUGUCUAAGUGACUUGACUGAAGCCCAAUAGGAAUGAACAUGCCAACCCAUUAGCCCAGGGCAGUCAGUGUCUGCCUGUCAGCAGUUGAAUUUGCCCAGGUCAGGCACUGAAUUGCUAUUGUGUGGUGUCUUAGGCUACUGAAAGGUGCAGAGUGUGCAUACCCAGCCCAGGUAAUGCCUGGCAGUGAGGCCUCAACCCGUGGCACUAAAUGUCGGACUCACCUGCAUACGUUCGCCCAUUCAGCAAAAGUCCUACCGUGUUUUAGGGUUCCCAUCUUUUCCAACUUUAUAAAAUGAGCACAUUCUUGACAAUCUCAUAAAAGACCCCUCCAACCUAAACAAAGAAGCCCUGUGUUCAGUGUUUACCUGGUUUGCGUGUUCUUUCUACUCAUUUCAUGCCUGGGUUUCCCUCGGCUCCUGCUGGCUUCCUGUCCCAGAGCCUCACAGGCCAGUUCCUCCUUUACAUGCUCCUCCAGACCCUGCUGGCUGGGCCUCCUCUCUCCCAAUGGCUGCAUGGAAAACACGGAUGUUCUGCACAUUUUCAUUUAGCCUCAUCGAUUCCAUCGAUGUCUUGUCAGAUAUGCUGGAGCCCAAGGCUUCAUCAGCCACACAAGUCAUCAGAGAUGGGCCCUCUGGUCUUUUGACUCUGAUUAUUCUUUAUUUUUAUUCUGAUUCAAGGCAUGGAAUUAUGUGGGGGAGGAGAGAAGGAAGGAGACAGGAGGGAGCUAGAGGUCAGUGCUCAGAAAAACAAAAGAACAAAAGAACUGCAAAUUGGGACCUCUCUCCAUAGGCUCCUUCCUUUCAGAAAGUCAGUGCAAAACCAUCAUCUCCCAGGGACUUCUAGCUCAGGGCUGGCCUGUCCAAGGGAGACCUGCCCGGGCAGUCGCUUGUCAGAUCAAUCCUAGGGCCACCUUUGUGCAGACAUUCUGCCUUCUCUAUCUGGGCCCUCCCACUGCCUUCAGGGGUUUUACAUCUCAUUUAUUAGGGAGAUAAAAAGGAAUGGUGGAUGGAGCCCUUGGGGAAAGCAGGAGGUCGCCCUGGGCUGCUGCUUCAGGGGUGGACUCUUGCUUGGCAAAUGUUUAACCAGGUUUUUGUUGUUAUUUUAAACUAGAGGCCCAGUACACAAAAUUUGUGCACAGAUGCGGUCUUUAGGCCUGGCCAGUGAUCAAACCACAAGCAUCUGGCAUGGAAGGGCAGGUCCCAGCUGACCUCUGGCCCCUGGGCUGCACCUGGGCCUACAGGCCCUCACACGCCCCCCUCGCCUGAGUCACGGCACUCAAGUCUUCACGUGGAGAUGCAGUGAGUGCAGUUGGACACUGCGGGCCGGGUUGCAGUGUGGGCCUCUGAGCCACCCAGUGGCACCGCAUAUGGAAGCUGGGCAGGCAGUGCGCUCACAAACCCACGGAGCCCCAACUGGCCCCUGCGAUCCCAGUGGCUGCAGCCUGGCUCACCCAGAAGAGGAUGCACGAGUGCAGGGUGGGCUCCUCACUGUGGCUUCCCCAGCGUGAGCCCUGGUGUCCCAGGGGAGGGUAGCAGGGGGAGUGAGAGCGAGCUCCGUGGACACCCUGCAUUUUCACUGCACCUCCAUCCCCGUCACCCCACCCCCAGGUAGCCCGCUGUCCAGGUGCUGUGGGAGGUUGGUCACUGCCACCCACCCCCAGUUCCUCGUCCCAGCCCAGGGCCCGGCCCCGAUCGGGCGAUCAGGGCCUACUGGCUGCUGGUUGCUGUCUGUGGGGUGAUGGAUCUGGUCCAGGCCCCCACCCGGUUCCCUCAGCGCCUAGGAGCUGGGGACAGCCCCACCCCUCACCACUACUGCUGGUCGCCAUCUGUGGGAUGAUUGGCAGGACAAUUAGUCCCCCACUCGCACCUGCCUUGGCCUGGUGCCACCCACUCACCUGCUCCACCAUCCCGCCAUGGUCCUGCUCUCAUUGGGGCCCAUCAGAGCCAGCAAUGCCUCCACUGCUGCCCGCUGAUGCUGACAUGUCCCGCUCCACCCCCUGUUGGUCAGCGCACAUCAUAGCAAGCAGUCGAACUCCCAGUUGAGGGGACAAUUUGCAUAUUAGGCUUUUGUUAUAUAGAAUUUUGUUUGCAUUUUUUUGCAACACAUCUAGAAUACUUUCUGAUAAAUCUGGUAAUCUAUUGGUUUUUAAAAUUCAAAUAUUGGAGGUUCCUUCAAUAUUGGAGUCUGAAGGUGGGUGGGGGUUGGGGAGUCUAUGAAUAAUAGAUGCAAUUUGUAACCAUCUAUGGAGCUGAAAAUAAAGUAGAUUGAGUGCGUGUGUGUAAAAACUCUGUAUCUUCAUCCUGUACUUAGAAUUUAGUUUUAGCUGAAGGUUGGUGCCUUUAUCUGACCUGUCAACAUUAUAGAUGAUACUGUAAUAUUUAUAAACAUAUUUGCAUAUCUUUUAUCAGAUGGGUGCUCUUAGUUGAUUUGGUGUUCCAGCUUCUAUUUGGAAAAUAAAUCAAUAUUUGAAAUGAAGAUGAAAAGCUCAGGGGGUAUUUUUCAUGCCAGUCCUAGGUUUUGCUUGCACUUGAGAUGUGCGACCUUUUGGGGUCAAUGCUGGGUAUAA
Molecule: RNA transcript, 7901 nt
Organism: Myotis myotis
Lineage: Eukaryota; Metazoa; Chordata; Mammalia; Chiroptera; Vespertilionidae
Gene: PIK3C3
Gene name: phosphatidylinositol 3-kinase catalytic subunit type 3
Exons: 26
Source: RefSeq, a predicted model, not a curated record